GUACACUCCUACGGGAGGCAGCAGUGGGGAAUUUUGGACAAUGGGCGCAAGCCUGAUCCAGCCAUGCCGCGUGCGGGAAGAAGGCCUUCGGGUUGUAAACCGCUUUUGUCAGGGAAGAAAAGGUUCUGGCUAAUACCUGGGACUCAUGACGGUACCUGAAGAAUAAGCACCGGCUAACUACGUGCCAGCAGCCGCGGUAAUACGUAGGGUGCAAGCGUUAAUCGGAAUUACUGGGCGUAAAGCGUGCGCAGGCGGUUAUGCAAGACAGAGGUGAAAUCCCCGGGCUCAACCUGGGAACUGCCUUUGUGACUGCAUGGCUAGAGUACGGUAGAGGGGGAUGGAAUUCCGCGUGUAGCAGUGAAAUGCGUAGAUAUGCGGAGGAACACCGAUGGCGAAGGCAAUCCCCUGGACCUGUACUGACGCUCAUGCACGAAAGCGUGGGGAGCAAACAGGAUUAGAUACCCCAGUAGUCCCAUGA
Molecule: ribosomal RNA, 478 nt
Filed under: uncultured organism
Description: partial 16S ribosomal RNA
Rfam family: Bacterial small subunit ribosomal RNA
Source: RNAcentral